UACGGGAGGCAGCAGUGGGGAAUAUUGCACAAUGGGCGCAAGCCUGAUGCAGCCAUGCCGCGUGUAUGAAGAAGGCCUUCGGGUUGUAAAGUACUUUCAGCGGGGAGGAAGGCGAUGCGGUUAAUAACCGCGUCGAUUGACGUUACCCGCAGAAGAAGCACCGGCUAACUCCGUGCCAGCAGCCGCGGUAAUACGGAGGGUGCAAGCGUUAAUCGGAAUUACUGGGCGUAAAGCGCACGCAGGCGGUCUGUUAAGUCAGAUGUGAAAUCCCCGGGCUUAACCUGGGAACUGCAUUUUGAACUGGCAGGCUUGAGUCUUGUAGAGGGGGUAGAAUUCCAGGUGUAGCGGUGAAAUGCGUAGAGAUCUGGAGGAAUCCGGUGGCGAAGGCGGCCCCUGGGACAAAGCUGACGCUCAGGUGCGAAAGCGUGGGGAGCAAACGAGGAUUAGAUACC
RNAcentral lists this ribosomal RNA (452 nucleotides) under uncultured bacterium. RNAcentral describes it as "bacterial SSU rRNA". It matches the Rfam family "Bacterial small subunit ribosomal RNA", at positions 340 to 786 of the family's 1533-position model. The record is from RNAcentral.